Molecule: non-coding RNA, 733 nt
Organism: Salvelinus sp. IW2-2015
Lineage: Eukaryota; Metazoa; Chordata; Actinopteri; Salmoniformes; Salmonidae
Source: RefSeq, a predicted model, not a curated record
GACAGACAGACAGACAGACAGACAGAACAAUGUGUGUCCCAAAUAGCACCCUAUUCCUUUUAUAGUGCAUUACUUUGGGACCCUGUGGACUCUUGUCAAACGUAGUUCACUAUAGGAAAUAGGUUCCCAUUUGAGACACAGGCAGAAACAACUACAACUGAAGCAGAACAUAGUCAGAAGUCGAGUGGGAGAGGUUAGGAAAGGGUGAGGAAGACAAGUAGGGGUGAGGCUGGGGGAGAGGUUAGGAAAGGGUGAGGAAAGAGUGAGGAAGACAAGUAGGGGUGAGGCUGGGGGAGAGGUUAGAGAUGGUUUUCAGACCACAGAGACGAUGACAACCCCUUCAUUUGGUCUGAUGAUGAUGGUAGUGACGAUGAUGAUAGUGAUGAAGAUGAUGACGAAGACGUGAUAAUAAUGAUUUUGAUGAUGAUGUAGUGUUAAGCUGAAUCCAUGUCUUCCUGAUAGAAGUCAAAAUAGUAGAGGAUCAACGUUUGUCAUUUUUAACAUUUACUAACAACAUAAUGUUUACAUGUGUCGCAUCAGCCCAGCUACAUGUGAAGUACUCGUCUUUCAUAAAGACUGCUCAUAACCUCGCCACUAGACUGGCAAAAACUAUCUGGAACAACAAAAACUAAAAGCAUUACAAAAUACAAAUGAAUAAAGGAACUUUGCACAUAUUUAUAUUUCUAAGAUAUUUCAAUACUUAAUAUUAAAGCGCACUUUUUUUUAAACCAAA